Molecule: long non-coding RNA, 1207 nt
Filed under: Ananas comosus (pineapple)
Lineage: Eukaryota; Viridiplantae; Streptophyta; Magnoliopsida; Poales; Bromeliaceae
Description: long non-coding RNA (ACOM_LNC027671)
Source: RNAcentral
CUAUCUUCAAAUUUUUUUAUUUGUUCUUAAAUUAGAAGUAAGAAAGAUAUUUUGAUUUAUUUUUAACUUUAUUAGAAAUUUAAUUUGAACUUAAUUCUAGAUAAUUUAAUCGAUAUUAACGCUAGACGUGAGCAGUAUAUUUGAAAUAAAAGGGGCAAUUAUUUAUAUACUCCUGAAAAAUUUUUGAUUUUCUAAUUUAUCCUUCUUAGAAGGAUAAUAAUGAAAAUACUUUUUUUACAUUCUAAUCUAUUUCAAAUAUACAUUUUUAGAGUUAAAAUUGGUUAAAUAUAUAUUUUUAGAGUUAAAAUCGAUUAACGAACUAUUAACAAUAACUGUUAUUUUUAUGAAAUUACUAUUUUGCCUUUUCAAAUAUACCUUUUAUUAUUACCAACUUUUCUUAUUUGACUUUUAAGUUAGGGGCACAAAAGUAUUUUGCUUUUUAGUUUUUUCAAGUAUACCAUUCUACCAUCAUCAAUAUUUCUUAUUUACUCUUAAGUUAAGGGUAAUGGUGGCAUUUUGAUUUUUUUAACUCUGAAAAAUAUUUAACUCAUAUUUAAUCCAAGUUAAUUUAUCAGGUGAUAGCAGCACGAAUAUUUUGGAAUAGCAAAGUAAUAUAUUAGAGGUAUAUUGGAAAAAAAAAUAUUUUAAAAUUUUGAGAAAUAUAUAAGUAAUUAUCUCAAAUAAAAAGUAAUAAGGUUGUGUAAAAUAUUUUAGAAAUUUUUAGGGAUAUAUAGUUAAUUAUCUCAAAAAAAAAGGGGGGAAAUUUCAAAAACGCCUCUUGUGGUUUCAUACUUAUCACUUUAGUACUCUAUAGUUUAAAAUGUAUCAAGUAAGUACCCUAUGGUUUUUCACUUUAUCACUUUAGUACACUGUGGUUUAAAGUGUAUCAAGUUAGUACCCUGUGGUUUUGCACUUUAUCACUUUAGUAUCAUGUGGUUUCUCACUUUAUCAUUUUAGUACCCUCUGGUUUAAAAAUCACAGGGUACUAACUCGAUACAAUAUUAAAACCACAGGGUACUAAAGUGAUAAAAUGCAAAACCACAGGGUACUAACUUGAUAUGCUUUAAACUAUAUAGUACUAAAGUGAUAAAGUAAAAAACCAUAUGGUACUAAUUUGAUACAUUUUAAAUUAUAGGGUAUUAAAGUGAUAACUUAUGAAACGACAUAGGGGUUUUUGAAGUUUUCCAAACAAAAAAAAAAAAAAAAA